AUUUUGGACAAUGGGGGAAACCGUGAUCCAGCCAUCCCGCGUGUGUGAUGAAGGCCUUCGGGUUGUAACGCACUUUUGACAGGGAAGCAAUAGUAGGGGCUAAUAUCCUCUGUGAUUGACGGUACCUGUAGAAUAAUCACUGGCAAACUACGUGCCAGUAGCCACGGUAAUACGUAGGGUCCAAGCGUUAACCUGAAUUACUGGGCGUAAAGGGUACGCAGGCGGCUAGGAAAGAAAGAUGUGAAAUCCCAGGGCUCAACCUUGGAACUGCAUUUUUAACUACCUAGCUAGAGUAUGUCAGAGGGGGGUAGAAUUCCACGUGUAGCAGUGAAAUGCGUAGAGAUGUGGAGGAAUACCGAUGGCGAAGGCAGCCCCCUGGGAUAAUACUGACGCUCAGGUACGAAAGCGUGGGGAGCAAACA
This 421-nucleotide ribosomal RNA is filed under the name uncultured bacterium. RNAcentral's name for it is "partial 16S ribosomal RNA". It matches the Rfam family "Bacterial small subunit ribosomal RNA", at positions 361 to 774 of the family's 1533-position model. The record is from RNAcentral.